RNAcentral lists this ribosomal RNA (529 nucleotides) under uncultured Stenotrophomonas sp. RNAcentral describes it as "bacterial SSU rRNA". It matches the Rfam family "Bacterial small subunit ribosomal RNA", at positions 382 to 902 of the family's 1533-position model. Lineage: Bacteria; Pseudomonadati; Pseudomonadota; Gammaproteobacteria; Lysobacterales; Lysobacteraceae. The record is from RNAcentral.
CCUGAUCCAGCCAUACCGCGUGGGUGAAGAAGGCCUUCGGGUUGUAAAGCCCUUUUGUUGGGAAAGAAAAGCAGUCGGCUAAUACCCGGUUGUUCUGACGGUACCCAAAGAAUAAGCACCGGCUAACUUCGUGCCAGCAGCCGCGGUAAUACGAAGGGUGCAAGCGUUACUCGGAAUUACUGGGCGUAAAGCGUGCGUAGGUGGUUGUUUAAGUCUGUUGUGAAAGCCCUGGGCUCAACCUGGGAAUUGCAGUGGAUACUGGGCGACUAGAGUGUGGUAGAGGGUAGUGGAAUUCCCGGUGUAGCAGUGAAAUGCGUAGAGAUCGGGAGGAACAUCCAUGGCGAAGGCAGCUACCUGGACCAACACUGACACUGAGGCACGAAAGCGUGGGGAGCAAACAGGAUUAGAUACCCUGGUAGUCCACGCCCUAAACGAUGCGAACUGGAUGUUGGGUGCAAUUUGGCACGCAGUAUCGAAGCUAACGCGUUAAGUUCGCCGCCUGGGGAGUACGGUCGCAAGACUGAAACUC